AGAGAGAGAGAGAGAGAGAGAGAGAGAGAGAGAGAGAGAGAGAGAGAGGACUAUGGAGAGACACAGAUGGUCCACUACUACUACUACUACUACUAUUCUACUACUGUGUUUGUGUGCAGGCGCUUUGACCCGCGCUGCCUCUCUCCCUACGGUCACUUCUCUAUUACUAGUGACUGUAGUAAGUACUUGUCCUGUUGGGCCGGCCGAGGCUUCACACAGAGGUGUGGAAGUGGACAAAUUUUUAAUGAAGAGACGAAAGUUUGCGCGGCCGGGUCCAGAUGUCCAGGCAGGAGGUCGCCACUACCACCAACUUUACAACAAUUUAGGCUGUUAGGAGCGUUCCAAUAUGGCGGCGCGUCUGGCUGGCUUCAGGCUUUCCAAGAUGGCGGAUGGUAUGACGUCACCACGCCCCUAACUGUUGGUGGAAGAGGAGGAGGAGGAGGAGGAGGAGAAGAAGUAUGUAAAAUUUUGGGUUUUGAAGGAGCCGAGAGCAGCGAGUUACGACCACGCACGACCACUACCACCACCACCAGACCAUUGGCAACCCUGUUUUGUACGCCUGGAACAGUUGGCAACCCUGCUUGUCAAGUCACCACGUGCCUAACCUGUACACCACAAUCACCAACAUUGUUCCUAAGAUGCCGUUCGGGACCUACCACAAUCUGACCACCACCACCACCACAAUCGCUGGCCGGGCGCUGGGUUGCCUACAAACAUUAUUGCUACCUAGUGGUUGACCAUCUGCGCGCCAAUGUUGGUAGGGCGACCACCAUCUGCCGCGAU
Long non-coding RNA from Portunus trituberculatus (swimming crab), 783 nucleotides. RefSeq lists it as uncharacterized. NCBI's taxonomy places the organism in Eukaryota, Metazoa, Arthropoda, Malacostraca, Decapoda, Portunidae. The record is from RefSeq and is a predicted model, not a curated record. The transcript has 6 exons.